Molecule: transfer RNA, 73 nt
Filed under: Bacteroidales bacterium
Lineage: Bacteria; Pseudomonadati; Bacteroidota; Bacteroidia; Bacteroidales
Description: tRNA-Gly
Rfam family: tRNA
About the family: Transfer RNA (tRNA) molecules are approximately 80 nucleotides in length. Their secondary structure includes four short double-helical elements and three loops (D, anti-codon, and T loops). Further hydrogen bonds mediate the characteristic L-shaped molecular structure. tRNAs have two regions of fundamental functional importance: the anti-codon, which is responsible for specific mRNA codon recognition, and the 3' end, to which the tRNAs corresponding amino acid is attached (by aminoacyl-tRNA synthetases). tRNAs cope with the degeneracy of the genetic code in two manners: having more than one tRNA (with a specific anti-codon) for a particular amino acid; and 'wobble' base-pairing, i.e. permitting non-standard base-pairing at the 3rd anti-codon position.
Source: RNAcentral
GCGGGAGUAGCUCAGUUGGUAGAGCAUGACCCUUCCAAGGUCAGGGUCGCGGGUUCGAGCCUCGUCUCCCGCU